RNAcentral lists this ribosomal RNA (429 nucleotides) under Acidobacteriota bacterium. RNAcentral's name for it is "Acidobacteria bacterium partial 16S ribosomal RNA". It matches the Rfam family "Bacterial small subunit ribosomal RNA", at positions 355 to 776 of the family's 1533-position model. The record is from RNAcentral. Lineage: Bacteria; Pseudomonadati; Acidobacteriota.
UAGGGAAUCUUCCGCAAUGGGCGAAAGCCUGACGGAGCAACGCCGCGUGAGUGAUGAAGGUCUUCGGAUCGUAAAACUCUGUUAUUAGGGAAGAACAAAUGUGGAAGUAACUAUGCACGUCUUGACGGUACCUAAUCAGAAAGCCACGGCUAACUACGUGCCAGCAGCCGCGGUAAUACGUAGGUGGCAAGCGUUAUCCGGAAUUAUUGGGCGUAAAGCGCGCGUAGGCGGUUUUUUAAGUCUGAUGUGAAAGCCCACGGCUCAACCGUGGAGGGUCAUUGGAAACUGGAAAACUUGAGUGCAGAAGAGGAAAGUGGAAUUCCAUGUGUAGCGGUGAAAUGCGCAGAGAUAUGGAGGAACACCAGUGGCGAAGGCGACUUUCUGGUCUGUAACUGACGCUGAUGUGCGAAAGCGUGGGGAUCAAACAGG